AUGCAGGUGGCACUGGGUGUCCCCACGGAGGUGGCACUGGGUGUCCCCACGGAGGUGGCACUGGGUGUCCCCAUGGAGGUGACACUGUGUGUCCCAUGCAGGUGGCACUGGGUGUCCCAUGCAGGUGGCACUGGGUGUCCCAUGGAGGUGGCACUGGGUGUCCCAUGCAGGUGGCACUGUGUGUCCCAUGCGGGUGGCACUGGGUGUCCAUGCAGGUGGCACUGGGUGUCCCAUGGAGGUGGCACUGGGUGUCCCCAUGGAGGUGGCACUGGGUGUCCAUGCAGGUGGCACUGGGUGUCCCAUGCAGGUGGCACUGGGUGUCCCAUGCAGGUGGCACUGGGUGUCCCCACGGAGGUGGCACUGGGUGUCCCCACGGAGGUGGCACUGGGUGUCCCAUGGGAGUGGCACUGGGUGUCCCAUGUAGGUGGCACUGUGUGUCCCAUGCAGGUGGCACUGGGUGUCCCAUGCAGGUGGCACUGUGUGUCCCAUGGGAGUGGCACUGGGUGUCCCCAUGGAGGUGGCACUGGGUGUCCCAUGGGAGUGGAACUGGGUGUCCCCAUGGAGGUGGCACUGGGUGUCCAUGCAGGUGGCACUGGGUGUCCCAUGGGAGUGGCACUGGGUGUCCCAUGGAGGUGGCACUGGGUGUCCCAUGGAAGUGGCACUGUGUGUCCCAUGGGAGUGGCACUGGGUGUCCCAUGGAGGUGGCACUGGGUGUCCCAUGCAGGUGGCACUGGGUGUCCAUGGAGGUGGCACUGGGUGUCCCAUGGAGGUGGCACUGGGUGUCCCAUGGAGGUGGCACUGUGUGUCCCAUGGAGGUGGCACUGGGUGUCCCAUGGGAGUGGCACUGGGUGUCCCAUGGAGGUGGCACUGGGUGUCCCAUGGAGGUGGCACUGGGUGUCCCAUGGGAGUGGCACUGGGUGUCACCAUGGAGGUGGCACUGUGUGUCCCAUGGGAGUGGCACUGGGUGUCCCAUGGAGGUGGCACUGUGUGUCCCAUGGGAGUGGCACUGGGUGUCCCAUGGAGGUGGCACUGGGUGUCCCAUGGGAGUGGCACUGUGUGUCCCAUGGAGGUGGCCCUGGGUGUCCCAUGCAGGUGACACUGGGUGUCCAUGCAGGUGGCCCUGGGUGUCCCAUGCAGGUGGCACCGGGUGUCCCAUGGAGGUGGCACUGGGUGUCCCAUGGAGGUGGCACUGGGUGUCCCCAUGGGGGUGGCACUGGGUGUCCCAUGGAGGUGGCCCUGGGUGUCCAUGCAGGUGGCACCGGGUGGCGGUCGCGGGCGGUGUCGCCGGGCGGGGCUGGCUGUGACGAGGCCGUGCCACCACCAGGUGUCCCCCUUGCACAGCGGCUCGAGGCUGGCGCUGCUCUGGGGACACGGGGGACACUGUGA
Molecule: long non-coding RNA, 1386 nt
Filed under: Taeniopygia guttata (zebra finch)
Lineage: Eukaryota; Metazoa; Chordata; Aves; Passeriformes; Estrildidae
Description: lncRNA (ENSTGUG00000023826.1)
Source: RNAcentral